GACGAACGCUGGCGGCGUGCUUAACACAUGCAAGUCGAACGGAAAGGCCCUGCUCUUGUGGGGUGCUCGAGUGGCGAACGGGUGAGUAUCACGUGAGUAACCUGCCCUUGACUUUGGGAUAACUUCAGGAAACUCGGGCUCAUACCGGAUAGGAGCUCCUGCUGCAUGGUGGGGGUUGGUAAGUUUCGGCGGUUGGGGAUGGACUCGCGGCUUAUCAGCUUGUUGGUGGGGUAGUGGCUUACCAAGGCUUUGACGGGUAGCCGGCCUGAGAGGGUGACCGGCCACAUUGGGACUGAGAUACGGCCCAGACUCCUACGGGAGGCAGCAGUGGGGAAUAGUGCACAAUGGGCGGAAGCCUGAUGCAGCAACGCCGCGUGCGGGAUGACGGCCUUCGGGUUGUAAACCGCUUUCGCCUGUGACGAAGCGUGAGUGACGGUAAUGGGUAAAGAAGCACCGGCUAACUACGUG
Molecule: ribosomal RNA, 468 nt
Filed under: uncultured bacterium
Lineage: Bacteria
Description: partial 16S ribosomal RNA
Rfam family: Bacterial small subunit ribosomal RNA
Source: RNAcentral